GAGUUUGAUCGUGGCUCAGGAUGAACGCUGGCGGCGUGCCUAAUACAUGCAAGUCGAGCGAACGGACGAGAAGCUUGCUUCUCUGAUGUUAGCGGCGGACGGGUGAGUAACACGUGGAUAACCUACCUAUAAGACUGGGAUAACUUCGGGAAACCGGAGCUAAUACCGGAUAAUAUUUUGAACCGCAUGGUUCAAAAGUAAAAGACGGUCUUGCUGUCACUUAUAGAUGGAUCCGCGCUGCAUUAGCUAGUUGGUAAGGUAACGGCUUACCAAGGCAACGAUGCAUAGCCGACCUGAGAGGGUGAUCGGCCACACUGGAACUGAGACACGGUCCAGACUCCUACGGGAGGCGGCAGUAGGGAAUCUUCCGCAAUGGGCGAAAGCCUGACGGAGCAACGCCGCGUGAGUGAUGAAGGUCUUCGGAUCGUAAAACUCUGUUAUUAGGGAGAACAUAUGUGUAAGUAACUGUGCACAUCUUGACGGUACCUAAUCAGAAAGCCACGGCUAACUACGUGCCAC
This 519-nucleotide ribosomal RNA is filed under the name uncultured microorganism. RNAcentral describes it as "bacterial SSU rRNA". It matches the Rfam family "Bacterial small subunit ribosomal RNA", at positions 9 to 511 of the family's 1533-position model. The record is from RNAcentral.